GUUAGAAAAAUGGAUCAGUGCCAUUCCGAAUCCUCCACCUUCUCCUAAAAGGAAGAAUGCCAGGAUUUGCUCCCUCCAUUUCUUCAUAGAAGAUUUUAAGGUUUUUUCAACGUUUAAAAAGGCAUUAAAUGAUGAUGCUGUGCCGAAGGCAGGAUUGUGCUACCAGCCGUCCAAUCACUCUGUGUCAAACACAUCGUUGGGCGGUCAGUCAUCGGAGUUUAACUCGCCUGUGGGAGCAUCUUCUUUGUCUCCUUGCUCACCAUCUCCUCACAUUAACAAGGACACACUUCGUCGAAAUUAUGGUUCAAAAAGUCGAAGAGAGCUGUUUACUGUCAACUCAACACAAAUGGACGAUUCCAAAAACUGUAGCAUAGGAUCCUCGAGAGAAGGCUCCAACCCUGAUAAUGGUAAUUUACGCCUAUCCAACACUUUCAUUUCUUCUUCUGUUGUUGUAUUUUGGUUCUUCAUAAAUUCUCUAAGGAUCUCUUACAGACGGUUUCUUUGCCUGAUGUGAGAAUGUGCAACUUAUUUGCAGUAGCUAACGGUGUUCCCUUAUUUAAAGGUUUUGAGUAUCUUGCGUUCCAUUCAGUUGAAGAUUACUAUACUCUUACACAUUCUAAAGUGUAGGUGGAAAGUCUUAGUCCCCCUCAAUCUCAGAUCGUGAGCUUCUAGCUUGAGUCCCAUCUUGCUGUCUAAUACCGUUUUCUUGUCAUGCUAUACAAAUAUAGGCUGUAACUGCAGUGCAACUGAUUUUUAUUUUCAGCUACCUCUGAUCAACAUGCCCUCAUUUCCAUGUGCCAAGUCCUAUUGGAAAAAGGAAGCACAGUACGCCACACAAAGACACUACGCUGUGCAAGAAAAGUGCCGAAGUCAUCCCAGCCAUAGAAGGCAUUCUCUUUGUAGUGAGGAAAAAACUGGUCCAAGCAAGAACAGGGGACUCCUGGCUGAAAACCAGGAAUCUAAUUCCACAAAUGGAGAAAAAUCUUCGGGUCAGACUUUACUUGGCACUGUCUCAUCUCCAGGGCACAACAUCUUCAAUGUAACAGCAAAUCCCUCCUCAGAUCAUAAACAGCCGAUGCCAAGGAAGCGGCGUAAUGAUAGUGCUCGAGUGGCAGCUUUGAGAGAGAAGCUCAUACAGAAGAAUAGAACCAUCAACAAACUCAGGAUGCAAGUCAAAAGAUCAAAGCAUCCCAAAUCAGCCUCGAUCUCUGCAAGAGAAAUCGUUGCUGCAGCCAGACCGCACUUAAAACCAGCCAUGCGAAUUCUGCUUGAAGCACAGCUGAAGUUGAGCUCUCGUAAGAAGAAAGGAAUGAGAUGGAGUCAGGAGAUGAAAGAUUUUACAUUAGGUUUAAUGUAUCACGGCCCUAGGUGUUAUAGGUAUUUAUCAAAGUUGAUCCCUUUGCCGAGCAUUUCAACAAUAAAUCGGUAUCAAAGUGUAUUACAUCUUAAACCUGGUAUCCACGAGCAUGUUAAAGUAGGUUUGAAAGACAUUGUCACAACUUGGUCUCAAAAUAAGAAAAUUUGCACAUUGGUAAUCGAUGGAAUGUCAAUCAAGAGACACUUAGAGUAUGAUAACAAAAGAGAUUUUGUCAGUGGUUUUACAGAUGACGGUCUGAAUCGAUCAAGCAAGCCAGCCAAUCAAGGCAUUGUCGCUGUUCUCAAAGGCAUUCUUUCCCUUGGAAGCAAAUCGUUGGUCAUUGGCUGACCACUGACACUGAUCCUGCUGAUAUUAUACUCAAAGCUGUUAAAGAUUGUGUCGCUUUUGCGAAUGAAGCAGGUUUAAUCUUAAAACUGUUUGUUUGUGACCCUGGUUCAAAAAACAGGAAACUUGUGCGUGCAUUAGGUAUCA
Molecule: long non-coding RNA, 1849 nt
Filed under: Bemisia tabaci
Lineage: Eukaryota; Metazoa; Arthropoda; Insecta; Hemiptera; Aleyrodidae
Description: lncRNA ENSSSA3NGG013551
Source: RNAcentral